RNAcentral lists this long non-coding RNA (715 nucleotides) under Microcebus murinus (gray mouse lemur). RNAcentral describes it as "lncRNA (ENSMICG00000048825.1)". Lineage: Eukaryota; Metazoa; Chordata; Mammalia; Primates; Cheirogaleidae. The record is from RNAcentral.
AUGGAUGUGGUGGCGCUGUUCGGUCUGAGGGGCAUCCAGCACACUCCCAUCAGCAUCAAGAAUGCCCGCGUGUCUCAGGUACGGCCUAGGCAAGGAUGGAAGGGGCAGACCCCUGGCCCCACCCUCUACCCCAGAGCUCACAUGCCCUAUUCCCACUUCCCUCCCAGCACUACAAGGCCAGCCUCACUGCCACAUUCAACCUGUUUCCGGAGGCCAAGUUUGCUGUGGUCCUGGAAGAGGACCUGGACAUUGCCGUGGAUUUUUUCAGGUGAGGGAGGUUUCUAGGUUUCAGGUGAGGUCCCUGGGUCUCUAGGAGAGAAAGCAGCAGGGUGUCUUGGGAGCUUUCUGGAGGAAGUGAGCUCAAAAUGGGAGAAAGCCUGAGCAGAGGCAGGAUGGUGGGUGCUGGGGCUGGAGCAAAAGGUAGAAGGAUGAAUGGAAACAGCAGAGAUUUGGGGGUUGACUCCUGAGUCCCAGCUCUUCCAGCUUCACUGCGUGACUGGGUUUGUCCUUGCCCCUUUCUCGACUCUUGGACCUUGGCUCUCUCAGUUUCCUGAGCCAAUCCAUCCACCUACUGGAGGAGGAUGACAGCCUGUACUGCAUCUCUGCCUGGAAUGACCAGGUAGGCUGGGUGGCCAGGGGUUGGGAGGCGGGUUUCUUGAGGCCACAAGCUAAUACAGCUCCCUGCCCCCAGGGGUAUGAACAUACAGCUGAGGAC